UCGGUCCCUCGCGACGCUAGAUCGAAAAUCCCGCCAGGGCCGGAAGGCAGCAACGGUAUCGAUUGAUGCGGGCGCCGAGGUCAACCGG
RNAcentral lists this signal recognition particle RNA (88 nucleotides) under Xanthomonas vasicola. RNAcentral describes it as "Bacterial small signal recognition particle RNA". It matches the Rfam family "Bacterial small signal recognition particle RNA". From Rfam's summary of the family: The signal recognition particle (SRP) is a universally conserved ribonucleoprotein involved in the co-translational targeting of proteins to membranes. RNAcentral also lists the same sequence under 2 other names. The record is from RNAcentral. Lineage: Bacteria; Pseudomonadati; Pseudomonadota; Gammaproteobacteria; Lysobacterales; Lysobacteraceae.